AUCUGGGUUAGCUCAGUUGGUAGAGCAUGGCAUUCUUAAUGUCAGCAUCAUGGGUUUGAGCCCCACUUUGGGCA
Molecule: non-coding RNA, 74 nt
Organism: Podarcis lilfordi (Lilford's wall lizard)
Lineage: Eukaryota; Metazoa; Chordata; Lepidosauria; Squamata; Lacertidae
Source: the annotation of a GenBank genome assembly